AGAACCAGUAUUCGCUCAAUGCAGCUCGAAAGAUUGCAAAGUUAGCUGACACUUGUUUGUUAAAAUCUGCAAAAGAUCGACCAAAGAUGAGUCAGGUAGUAGAAACUCUGAAGCAGAUCAUUCAGAUUUCUGGUGAGAAUAGCUCCACAGACACGAGUUUCCAGUGUGUCGAAGAUGAACCUGUUGUAGAGGAAAAUCCAAAGCAGACAGGAGCCUCAGAAUCAACGAAAAGGCGAAUGGCUCACUUGGCUAAACUUAGUGAACAUGUUGGUGGAAUAAGCAGAAGAAGAUUUAUGAUCAUGCAGAAGGCUAAAGUUAUAUAAAACAGUUUUUUUUCCCCUCCUGCAUAUCAGAUAUCAAGUUGUUAAGAAUUCUGGUUUAUGGAAUGAGAGAACAUAGUAACCAGUUUAACGAGUAAAUGAAGCAUUGUUAUUUCAACUCAUUAGUGGCAAUGACUAGAGGCACCAAUCAGUAGCGUGGAGUUUUUUGCAUGCCAUCAGAUUAUGCAUUUGCAUUGUAGGCCAUUAUUCUGAUUUAUCAGGAAAAAAUAUUGCAGGCCACUAUUCUCUUGUGCAUCUUUUGUUAGCUAUUAUGUAAUUUAUUUAUUUACUUUACUGUGGUAUCUGCACCAGCCUUAUUCUACACCUCCACAACACAAAUACCAAGUGAUUUUAUCCUUCAAGGCUUAAGCAGAUGGAAGAAAUUACUUAAGGUGGUUUUUUCAUGAAUAUAUUUUUGUUUCUAAAGAAACACAAAGCAAAGAACAAAAAGAGGGAAGGUGGGGAGGAAAGAAAACUUCAAGUCAAGUCGGACAAAGAAAUAAUGGCGAAUUGAUUAGAUUGUACUUAUUCAACCAUAUUUUAUGGAAUCGUUGACGAAUAUAGUUUCAAUAUGGACCUGCCAACCGCAGGAGACGUUGACUACUUACAGCGUUGAACGUACUGAAGAAAGUUAUAAUUUCUUUUUUAUUGUUUGCAGAGGAUCAGAAGACCACUAAGUUCGGCACAUGUACAAUACAACCACAAUAAAUACAUAAACCAAUGAAAAAUUGCGUCUCUUAAGAGCAACUAAAAGUGAAAUGAUAUGCCCCCACCCCGCCCUUGGACAGCCCGGCAAAGCAUCCCGCGUUCGGAGAAGGGCCGGCUCCUACCUCACUCCUGCCAAAAAAAAGAAGGGAUUUUUACAUAUUUACACACUAUUGGAAACUUUAUUACCCUCCCUACUCAAGUUUCAAUUUAAUUACCUUUUAUAUACAAAUUUACCAAUUAUACACACUUUAGGAAUUAAAUGAGUAUCCAUUUAUAUUAUGAAUCAAUUAUUUCUCAUCCUUGUUCUCUCUCCCUCAUGCUCUCUCUCUCUCCCCUGUGCGCUCUCUCUACGUCUCUCUAUCCCUAAUUUCAGUAAUGUAGAGCAAAGGAAGAGAGAGCAACAAUUCCACCAUUGAUAGCCAAUAAAAAGCUUUGAAACUUUGAAUUCGAAUUUGGGUUUUCAAAAAACAUUAUUUGUUUGAAUUGGGUGUUGUUACAAACAAUUGAAAAUUCUCUCUAUGUCUCUCUCUAUGUAAAGCAAAGGAAAAGAAAGCAGCAACUCCACCAUUGACAUGCAUUAAAAAGCUUUGAAACUUUGAAUUCGAAUUUGGGUUUUCAAAAAACAUUAUUUGUUUGGAUUGAGUGUUGUUGCAAACAAUUGGGAAUAUGGUUUGGAGUUUAUAUCUCAAUUUUGAGGGUGUUUUGGUAAAGAUUAGACUUGAUUUUGACUAAAUUUCAUAUUGAAACUCGAAGAAGAAGACAUGACAUACAUUAUACUUACAAAAUUGUAGUAAAAUUGUAGAAAAAUUAUUUGUUUAUAUAUAUAUAUAUAUAUUUUUUAUUUAAAUAUUGUAUGAAAGUUGAACAAUAUUGUAUAAAAAUUGUAUCUAAGUUAGUAUGAUAUUGUAGUUGUAUAUAAAUGGGUAGAAAUAAUGUAUGAAAAUUGUAGAUAAGUUGUAAAUAAGUUAUAUAAUAUAUAAUUAGUUGUAUAUAUAUAUGGAUUGCAUAUAUUUUGUAACUAAAAUGUGUUUAGGUCGGGUAAAUACCAAAAUAUAAACAUUUUUUGUAAUAAGAUUUCAAAUAGUGUAUAGGUAUGUAAAAAUCCAAAAAAAAUAUGGAAAAGAGGAAGGAAGAAAAUACUUCUAACAUUGUAUAUUUGUUGAUCAAAUUACACCACUCUUUUUUUCUUCUAUCAAAAGGAAGGAUCCGGGAAGGGGAAUCGAAACCGAUCCGAUUGAUACUACUAGGCUGUAAGUUUUCUAGCUUCUCAAAGAUCCAGAACAUGUUCUAUAUUCUGCAUAGCCAUUAUACUAUAUACGGCACAAGAACCUUGUGCAGCCAUUCCAACAGUCUCCAAGGUCAAACGACCAUAUGGCACCUAUGUUGCUCGGAUACUCCGAACAUGUCGUCGGGUACGUAUCGAGUUCUCCAAAAGCAGUGUAUUUUUGGAGAAUCCGAUACGUGCGGCAGUGUUUCGGAGAGUCCGCGCAACAUAGUAUGACACUGAUCACCAGUAGUUUGGACAACGCCUUUUGUGCAUCCUGAAAUGUGAAAAUUCAAUCGCAGAAUUCAUCAAGAUAGCCAUUUUCUACUUGGGGUUGAGGGGGGGGGGGGGGCAGUGAGCUUCAUCACCAAGAGACAUUGGAUAAAGCUGAAAAGAAAAGGAAAUUAGUUUCUAGUAUAAUGCAAGGAUGGCAUUAACUUCUAGUUUCAGAGUAAAUCAUUGUUCAGAGUAGGAAAACACAACGUUUGACCUAUAUUUGUUUGCGAAGACAUAGACCUUCAUAUGAAAGUUGCACACACAAUUACACUAGAUGAAGAUAUGUUCACAAAUAAACUUACUAGAUCCAUCAGCGUUGGCGGGUUUGCAAAAAAUCAAUAACAACAGCAACAACAAAGGUCUAGCUAGUUGAGGUCGGCAUAUGAAUCCUCAUCAUCCAUUUCGCUCUAUUUGGGCCAGGUCUGCGAAACUUCAAUUCAGCAGCUGGAAAAAAACCUUUGUCACGAUGUUUCCCAUAACCGAGCACUUGAUCUUUUAUCAUUCACCAUAGCAGUUCUUUUCAGGAACAAAUCUUUAGGCACAUCCCUCGCCAGCUAUAGGAAUAAUUUAUCUUUCCAUUACCUUCAUUAUCAACUCAAGGAAACAUCAUUCAAAUACCGGACAUUGAGCAGCAUCUAAGUCUCUUCUCCCACAGG
RNAcentral lists this long non-coding RNA (3224 nucleotides) under Nicotiana tabacum (common tobacco). Its description in RNAcentral is "long non-coding RNA (NTAB_LNC007488)". The record is from RNAcentral. Lineage: Eukaryota; Viridiplantae; Streptophyta; Magnoliopsida; Solanales; Solanaceae.